CCGUACCUACGGGACGCAGCAGUAGGGAAUCUUCGGCAAUGGGGGCAACCCUGACCGAGCAACGCCGCGUGAGUGAAGAAGGUUUUCGGAUCGUAAAGCUCUGUUGUAAGUCAAGAACGGGUGUGAGAGUGGAAAGUUCACACUGUGACGGUAGCUUACCAGAAAGGGACGGCUAACUACGUGCCAGCAGCCGCGGUAAUACGUGGGUCCCGAGCGUUGUCCGGAUUUAUUGGGCGUAAAGCGAGCGCAGGCGGUUUG
This 258-nucleotide ribosomal RNA is filed under the name uncultured bacterium. RNAcentral describes it as "partial 16S ribosomal RNA". It matches the Rfam family "Bacterial small subunit ribosomal RNA", at positions 331 to 582 of the family's 1533-position model. The record is from RNAcentral.